RNAcentral lists this ribosomal RNA (248 nucleotides) under uncultured Eubacteriales bacterium. RNAcentral describes it as "uncultured Clostridiales bacterium partial 16S ribosomal RNA". It matches the Rfam family "Bacterial small subunit ribosomal RNA", at positions 796 to 1041 of the family's 1533-position model. The record is from RNAcentral. Lineage: Bacteria; Bacillati; Bacillota; Clostridia; Eubacteriales.
CACGCUGUAAACGAUGAGUGCUAGGUGUAGGGGGUGUCAUGCCUUCUGUGCCGCAGUAAACGCAAUAAGCACUCCGCCUGGGGAGUACGGUCGCAAGACUAAAACUCAAAGGAAUUGACGGGGGCCCGCACAAGCAGCGGAGCAUGUGGUUUAAUUCGAAGCAACGCGAAGAACCUUACCAGGGCUUGACAUCCAUCUAAUUAACUGGAAACAGAUAAGUGCCCUUCGGGGAAAGAUGAGACAGGUGG